Non-coding RNA from Cordylochernes scorpioides, 74 nucleotides. NCBI's taxonomy places the organism in Eukaryota, Metazoa, Arthropoda, Arachnida, Pseudoscorpiones, Chernetidae. The record is from the annotation of a GenBank genome assembly.
UGUCCAAGGAUGGGAAUCGAACCCACAGUGUUCCGCUUACCGGGCAGAUGCCAUGUCCACUAGGCUACCCUGGC